RNAcentral lists this ribosomal RNA (539 nucleotides) under Escherichia coli. RNAcentral describes it as "bacterial SSU rRNA". It matches the Rfam family "Bacterial small subunit ribosomal RNA", at positions 882 to 1421 of the family's 1533-position model. Lineage: Bacteria; Pseudomonadati; Pseudomonadota; Gammaproteobacteria; Enterobacterales; Enterobacteriaceae. The record is from RNAcentral.
ACGGCCGCAAGGUUAAAACUCAAAUGAAUUGACGGGGGCCCGCACAAGCGGUGGAGCAUGUGGUUUAAUUCGAUGCAACGCGAAGAACCUUACCUGGUCUUGACAUCCACAGAACUUUCCAGAGAUGGAUUGGUGCCUUCGGGAACUGUGAGACAGGUGCUGCAUGGCUGUCGUCAGCUCGUGUUGUGAAAUGUUGGGUUAAGUCCCGCAACGAGCGCAACCCUUAUCCUUUGUUGCCAGCGGUCCGGCCGGGAACUCAAAGGAGACUGCCAGUGAUAAACUGGAGGAAGGUGGGGAUGACGUCAAGUCAUCAUGGCCCUUACGACCAGGGCUACACACGUGCUACAAUGGCGCAUACAAAGAGAAGCGACCUCGCGAGAGCAAGCGGACCUCAUAAAGUGCGUCGUAGUCCGGAUUGGAGUCUGCAACUCGACUCCAUGAAGUCGGAAUCGCUAGUAAUCGUGGAUCAGAAUGCCACGGUGAAUACGUUCCCGGGCCUUGUACACACCGCCCGUCACACCAUGGGAGUGGGUUGCAAA